RNAcentral lists this ribosomal RNA (420 nucleotides) under bacterium. Its description in RNAcentral is "partial 16S ribosomal RNA". It matches the Rfam family "Bacterial small subunit ribosomal RNA", at positions 355 to 776 of the family's 1533-position model. The record is from RNAcentral.
UGGGGGAUAUUGCACAAUGGGCGAAAGCCUGAUGCAGCGACGCCGCGUGGGGGAUGAAGGCUUUCGGGUUGUAAACCUCUUUCGCUAUCGAACAAGGCCCGCUUAGGGUGGGUUGAGGGUAGGUGGAGAAGAAGCGCCGGCUAACUACGUGCCAGCAGCCGCGGUAAUACGUAGGGCGCGAGCGUUGUCCGGAAUUAUUGGGCGUAAAGGGCUUGUAGGCGGCUUGUUGCGCCUGCUGUGAAAACGCGGGGCUUAACUUCGAGCGUGCAGUGGGUACGGGCAGGCUUGAGUGUGGUAGGGGUGACUGGAAUUCCAGGUGUAGCGGUGGAAUGCGCAGAUAUCUGGUGGAACACCGAUGGCGAAGGCAGGUCACUGGGCCAUUACUGACGCUGAGGAGCGAAAGCAUGGGUAGCGAACAGG